UGAUCUUCAAAGAGUUGAGGGGAGAAAAAUUUGGAGACGAAAAAGAAUGAGAUAGAAAAGGUUGAGAGAUUGAGAAAUUGAAAUUUGAACAAUAAAGAUAUGGUUGAAAAUUUGAGAGUGAAGGAAGCCAAAUUUCAACAAUUGGGAGCGGCCGAGAAGCAACAAAGGAAAGAGGAGCAGCUGGAAAUUAUUGUAAAGAAAAGGAGGCAAUAGGAGCCAAAUUUCAGCAAUUGGGAGUGGUUGAGAAGCAACAAAGGAAAGAGGAGCAGCUGGAAAUUAUUGAAAAGCAAAGGAAGCAAGAGGAGACAGCAUCAGAAACAGUGAGGACGAAGGUGUUGGAGAGGAUCUGAUUGAAUGGUCAUAGGAGCAAUGGAUUUUGAGUUCGCAACAACCUCUCUCUCAUUCACACCCAGAUCCGAGAUGUACAAUGUUCUUUUGAUUUUCCAUACUAUUGCAACCAGAGUGUUUGCUUUCACGGUGCUCAUCAUGGGACGUAGUGCAUAGGCUGAGGAACAAGUAAAUCACCAGAAUUUGCGCCUCAUGCUACUCUGGUGAUAUGAUGUAACUGCACUUUCCAGCAUGAUGCAGUGUGCUUAUUCAUUAACGGGCUAUUGAUUGUUGCAUUUAGAUAAAACAUGGAUAAACCCGGCCACUUAGUAAAAUUUCUGAACAGGUGUCUGGCAUAUAUGGUUAUCCCAUUUGAUGAGAGGAGCAUCCUGCAUACAAUUUUCUUUUUGAUGUAAGAAAAACUCCCAAGUGAAAUUUCUGAGCAGGUGUCUCAUGUAGCACCCCACUCCGGAGGGUAACAGCGUAAUGGAUUACUUCAAAGUUCAAACGUCCAGCAUUCUCUUUGUUCCAACCGUCCCCGGAGACUUUUCCUGCCAUGCAAAGAACUUGGGCAUAUAAUAUGAUGGAUGAGGUCACGAUUUUGGUACCUAAAAUUGGUGACUCAUUCUUGGGGAAGGGCCGCCGACCCCUGCAGCUGUUUUGUUUUCAUUUUUUAUCUAUUAAAAUUAUGAAAACCCACUUGGUAGGUGCCAAAUUACUGCUUGCCUGUUCGCAAUCACAGGACUUCAUGAAUUUGCACUAUGGAGUUCCCUAAAAUCCAAGUGUACUUGGCUGAUCCAAAUGGGAAUAGUUAUAUUUGAUAAGCUUAAUUAUAUACACUCUGAAGUUGUGUGUGUAUGGAUGGUUUUGUUUGGAAGCCCACUCCUAGAAAAUGGGUCAGUAGGUUUUAAGAUUAGAAGCCUAAUAGGGUCAGGUUUACGUUUUAGAUGAAUCUUUUUAAUUAUAGAGUUUAUUUAACAAA
Molecule: long non-coding RNA, 1309 nt
Organism: Malania oleifera
Lineage: Eukaryota; Viridiplantae; Streptophyta; Magnoliopsida; Santalales; Ximeniaceae
Exons: 4
Source: RefSeq, a predicted model, not a curated record